RNAcentral lists this ribosomal RNA (1516 nucleotides) under Campylobacter jejuni. RNAcentral describes it as "partial 23S ribosomal RNA". It matches the Rfam family "Bacterial large subunit ribosomal RNA", at positions 17 to 1518 of the family's 2925-position model. The record is from RNAcentral. Lineage: Bacteria; Pseudomonadati; Campylobacterota; Epsilonproteobacteria; Campylobacterales; Campylobacteraceae.
GCGAAUGGUGGAUGCCUUGACUGGUAAAGGCGAUGAAGGACGUACUAGACUGCGAUAAGCUACGGGGAGCUGUCAAGAAGCUUUGAUCCGUAGAUUUCCGAAUGGGGCAACCCAAUGUAUAGAGAUAUACAUUACCUAUAUAGGAGCGAACGAGGGGAAUUGAAACAUCUUAGUACCCUCAGGAAAAGAAAUCAAUAGAGAUUGCGUCAGUAGCGGCGAGCGAAAGCGCAAGAGGGCAAACCCAGUGCUUGCACUGGGGGUUGUAGGACUGCAAUGUGCAAGAGCUGAGUUUAGCAGAACAUUCUGGAAAGUAUAGCCAUAGAGGGUGAUAGUCCCGUAUGCGAAAAACAAAGCUUAGCUAGCAGUAUCCUGAGUAGGGCGGGACACGAGGAAUCCUGUCUGAAUCCGGGUCGACCACGAUCCAACCCUAAAUACUAAUACCAGAUCGAUAGUGCACAAGUACCGUGAGGGAAAGGUGAAAAGAACUGAGGUGAUCAGAGUGAAAUAGAACCUGAAACCAUUUGCUUACAAUCAUUCAGAGCACUAUGUAGCAAUACAGUGUGAUGGACUGCCUUUUGCAUAAUGAGCCUGCGAGUUGUGGUGUCUGGCAAGGUUAAGCAAACGCGAAGCCGUAGCGAAAGCGAGUCUGAAUAGGGCGCUUAGUCAGAUGCUGCAGACCCGAAACGAAGUGAUCUAUCCAUGAGCAAGUUGAAGCUAGUGUAAGAACUAGUGGAGGACUGAACCCAUAGGCGUUGAAAAGCCCCGGGAUGACUUGUGGAUAGGGGUGAAAGGCCAAUCAAACUUCGUGAUAGCUGGUUCUCUCCGAAAUAUAUUUAGGUAUAGCGUUGUGUCGUAAUAUAAGGGGGUAGAGCACUGAAUGGGCUAGGGCAUACACCAAUGUACCAAACCCUAUCAAACUCCGAAUACCUUAUAUGUAAUCACAGCAGUCAGGCGGCGAGUGAUAAAAUCCGUCGUCAAGAGGGAAACAACCCAGACUACCAGCUAAGGUCCCUAAAUCUUACUUAAGUGGAAAACGAUGUGAAGUUACUUAAACAACCAGGAGGUUGGCUUAGAAGCAGCCAUCCUUUAAAGAAAGCGUAAUAGCUCACUGGUCUAGUGAUUUUGCGCGGAAAAUAUAACGGGGCUAAAGUAAGUACCGAAGCUGUAGACUUGCACACAACUUAGAUUAUUUAAGUUUAGAAUAAGUAGUUUAAGUUGUGUGCAAGUGGUAGGAGAGCGUUCUAUUUGCGUCGAAGGUAUACCGGUAAGGAGUGCUGGAGCGAAUAGAAGUGAGCAUGCAGGCAUGAGUAGCGAUAAUUAAUGUGAGAAUCAUUAACGCCGUAAACCCAAGGUUUCCUACGCGAUGCUCGUCAUCGUAGGGUUAGUCGGGUCCUAAGUCGAGUCCGAAAGGGGUAGACGAUGGCAAAUUGGUUAAUAUUCCAAUACCAACAUUAGUGUGCGAUGGAAGGACGCUUAGGGCUAAGGGGGCUAGCGGAUGGAAGUGCUAGUCUAAGGU